AAAUUGAAGAGUUUGAUCAUGGCUCAGAUUGAACGCUGGCGGCAGGCCUAACACAUGCAAGUCGAACGGUAACAGGAAACAGCUUGCUGUUUCGCUGACGAGUGGCGGACGGGUGAGUAAUGUCUGGGAAACUGCCUGAUGGAGGGGGAUAACUACUGGAAACGGUAGCUAAUACCGCAUAAUGUCGCAAGACCAAAGAGGGGGACCUUCGGGCCUCUUGCCAUCGGAUGUGCCCAGAUGGGAUUAGCUAGUAGGUGGGGUAACGGCUCACCUAGGCGACGAUCCCUAGCUGGUCUGAGAGGAUGACCAGCCACACUGGAACUGAGACACGGUCCAGACUCCUACGGGAGGCAGCAGUGGGGAAUAUUGCACAAUGGGCGCAAGCCUGAUGCAGCCAUGCCGCGUGUAUGAAGAAGGCCUUCGGGUUGUAAAGUACUUUCAGCGGGGAGGAAGGGAGUAAAGUUAAUACCUUUACUCAUUGACGUUACCCGCAGAAGAAGCACCGGCUAACUCCGUGCCAGCAGCCGCGGUAAUACGGAGGGUGCAAGCGUUAAUCGGAAUUACUGGGCGUAAAGCGCACGCAGGCGGUUUGUUAAGUCAGAUGUGAAAUCCCCGGGCUCAACCUGGGAACUGCAUCUGAUACUGGCAAGCUUGAGUCUCGUAGAGGGGGGUAGAAUUCCAGGUGUAGCGGUGAAAUGCGUAGAGAUCUGGAGGAAUACCGGUGGCGAAGGCGGCCCCCUGGACGAAGACUGACGCUCAGGUGCGAAAGCGUGGGGAGCAAACAGGAUUAGAUACCCUGGUAGUCCACGCCGUAAACGAUGUCGACUUGGAGGUUGUGCCCUUGAGGCGUGGCUUCCGGAGCUAACGCGUUAAGUCGACCGCCUGGGGAGUACGGCCGCAAGGUUAAAACUCAAAUGAAUUGACGGGGGCCCGCACAAGCGGUGGAGCAUGUGGUUUAAUUCGAUGCAACGCGAAGAACCUUACCUGGUCUUGACAUCCACAGAACCUUGUAGAGAUACGAGGGUGCCUUCGGGAACUGUGAGACAGGUGCUGCAUGGCUGUCGUCAGCUCGUGUUGUGAAAUGUUGGGUUAAGUCCCGCAACGAGCGCAACCCUUAUCCUUUGUUGCCAGCGGUCCGGCCGGGAACUCAAAGGAGACUGCCAGUGAUAAACUGGAGGAAGGUGGGGAUGACGUCAAGUCAUCAUGGCCCUUACGACCAGGGCUACACACGUGCUACAAUGGCGCAUACAAAGAGAAGCGACCUCGCGAGAGCAAGCGGACCUCAUAAAGUGCGUCGUAGUCCGGAUUGGAGUCUGCAACUCGACUCCAUGAAGUCGGAAUCGCUAGUAAUCGUGGAUCAGAAUGCCACGGUGAAUACGUUCCCGGGCCUUGUACACACCGCCCGUCACACCAUGGGAGUGGGUUGCAAAAGAAGUAGGUAGCUUAACCUUCGGGAGGGCGCUUACCACUUUGUGAUUCAUGACUGGGGUGAAGUCGUAACAAGGUAACCGUAGGGGAACCUGCGGUUGGAUCACCUCCUUACCUUAAAGAAGC
This 1554-nucleotide ribosomal RNA is filed under the name Escherichia coli. RNAcentral describes it as "bacterial SSU rRNA". It matches the Rfam family "Bacterial small subunit ribosomal RNA". The record is from RNAcentral. Lineage: Bacteria; Pseudomonadati; Pseudomonadota; Gammaproteobacteria; Enterobacterales; Enterobacteriaceae.